Aegilops tauschii subsp. strangulata is the source of this 1760-nucleotide non-coding RNA. The record is from RefSeq and is a predicted model, not a curated record. Lineage: Eukaryota; Viridiplantae; Streptophyta; Magnoliopsida; Poales; Poaceae.
UGUGGCCCGACCCCAAAGGUCCUCCCAACCACCGACCGCCGCUCUCCUCUGCCCCGACCCGGACCCCGACCACGCCGGCCUCCUCUCCUCUCCUCUCCCUCCGGCGCCCCCUCACCUUCUCUCUCCCUCUCCUUCUUCUUCUUCUUCUUCUUCUUCUUCUUCUUCUGGAUUUCUUCAUCUGACCCUCCCCUGCGGUUGGCUUCUGCAGGCCAUCACAAAUUCGCCAUGGCACCCAGCCCCAGAUCUGACAGACAAGGGUCUAGGUGCGGCCGGAUCCAAGACCAAGCACCCCUGCGGUUGAUUUCGAUCUGCUCUGCAGGCCAUCACAAUGGAAGGAGGAGCACCAUGGCGGGCGUGCAGGCCAUCGCCUAGGCGGGACCCACGGCCAGAUGCAGGGCGGCUCCAAACCAUAACUCCCUCUUCUUUGAUGGUCGAGGAGGACGACGGGGAGGGGGGUCAGGAGGAGCCAGCGCCAUAAUGGAGGGCCCUCUUCUUUGAUGGGCAUUCCGUUCCAGCUCCAAUCCCAGCAGGUAGCGCUUCUGCAGUUUUUCUCAAGAUUACUAGUGCAACACUCGCCAUCUCUGAAUUCAUCAUGCCCCAUAUGUGCAGAGCCGAUCUGUCUUUUCUCUUGGUAGAAUUUCACGAUUAUUCAUCCAUCUCUGCUUAUGUCAGUUCCUGGUACAAGAAAUUCAUUCUUUUUGCACAAUGUUACCGGUAGGUUGUGUUUCUGAUAAACGGGAUAAAUCAUGAUGUUGCCCUGGAUUGACAGUUUUCCUAACUUCAGAGCAUGGAAUGUCCAGUCUGAAUUGUCGAGUCGCAAUUCAAAAUCAAAAUAUACUUAGAAUUGUGUUUACGGAUGUACGUAUAUCUUUGGAAUUUGCGCGGCUCUUUGCUCCAAAAAGUGCAUGGUCGACCUCUGGUUCAGGCGCCAAGUCAGUCAGCAUCAAAGUCCUGCAUUUUUAUGGUGUGUCACACAUACACACCUACAGGCCGUGAGAGCCUGGUGUGGCACCGGCGCGUUCUUCGAGCACCGGAAUGUGCGCGCCCAUAACCGCAGCACCAAGGGGCAGCAGCAGCUUCAGGGCAGGUCAAAGUGCAAGGUUGCCGUGCUUGUGGUCUGCUCACCUUCACUUCAGCCGCAGCAUCCGCUUCCCCAGUUGCUCCUCUUCCGCGCCGCUCCAUGUGUUUAUCCUGCCAAGGAGCGCGGACGGACGCGCGCUCGGGGUGGCUGCUGUUGCGCCCAGCAGCAGAGGACGCUAGCUAGUCUCCGUGCGCCGGCAACGGCAAGGACUUCUUGCACGUAAGGAAAUUCUUUUUAUUGGCUCUGUAGGGAUGGGUCCAUAUCCCAUCAACAAAGGAUAGCACUAUACUAGUCGCCGUCGCCGCUGCCUGCCAGUCCGAUUUGAGUCGUCUCCGGAGCUCUGCUGGGUUCCUCAUUUGAACAAGGGUCUCUUUCGAUGCUUAUUCUUUUCCAGCCAAUUCUUUUCAACAAGGGUCUCUUUCGAUGUGAUCUCCCUGCUGGAUGUUUGGCUGUGUCUCCUUGAGAAACUUGGUUAUGCAACAAUUUGGCUGCAAGUUAAUUGUAAUAUAUGCUGUUUUGUUUUCCAAUCUUGCAUCAAGUUGUUAUUUUGGGUCAUAUGGAUGUUGAACAGCUCGAAUCCUGCAACUGUUGUGUACUUGGUUUCAAAUUGUAGGUUCUGUGAGCAAAAUAGAAUCUAGUGGAAUAUUGAAUAUAUCUGCAAAAUGAAGGCUCUUUUUUA